GGGGGCGAUCGGUUUCGACGGGGAUCAAGGGUAAAGGAAAGCAGGCCGAGGUACCCAGUAACCUCGUUAAUCCAUUGGGAACAAAUCUAAAUGCAAACGAAUACUCGUAUGCAUUGGCUGCCUAAUAAAAGGUAGCUCGUCUUACCUGAGCCUGCCUGUUGGUUUGGGCUAAGGCGUCGAGAAAAACAGGAUAGCCUUCUUCUAUCUCCUGGGGGAAGAGGGCGAAACAAAACCGGGAUAGUUCUGGGUUAGACCUGCUUGUCGGUCUUUCCUGGAGCGAAAGUCCCUCCUGCCAAAAGCGGGAAGGAAAAAAGACUAAGCUAAGCCUGUAGAAGUCCUUUAGUUCUUAUCUUCGGACGUGGGUUCGAUUCCCACCGCCUCCAGUU
RNAcentral lists this transfer-messenger RNA (386 nucleotides) under Candidatus Zixiibacteriota bacterium. It matches the Rfam family "transfer-messenger RNA". From Rfam's summary of the family: Bacterial tmRNA, also known as 10Sa RNA or SsrA, is named for its dual tRNA and mRNA-like properties. Its role is to liberate the mRNA from a stalled ribosome. The record is from RNAcentral. Lineage: Bacteria; Pseudomonadati; Candidatus Zixiibacteriota.